GGAAGUGUAGUUUAUCUCAGAAUGCUGUUUUUGUAAAGCAGUGGUGUGAUCUUGUCGACUUCUU
Molecule: transfer RNA, 64 nt
Filed under: Paragonimus heterotremus
Lineage: Eukaryota; Metazoa; Platyhelminthes; Trematoda; Plagiorchiida; Troglotrematidae
Description: tRNA-Thr
Source: RNAcentral